GUGCUUGUUUAGACAGCACAUAUACUAAAACUGGGACAUACGGCGAAGAUUAGCACGGACCCUGCUGCAAGGGUGACACGCAAAUUCAGGACAUGUUCCUUAUUUUU
Diceros bicornis minor is the source of this 107-nucleotide small nuclear RNA. The record is from RefSeq and is a predicted model, not a curated record. NCBI's taxonomy places the organism in Eukaryota, Metazoa, Chordata, Mammalia, Perissodactyla, Rhinocerotidae.